Molecule: ribosomal RNA, 433 nt
Filed under: uncultured bacterium
Lineage: Bacteria
Description: partial 16S ribosomal RNA
Rfam family: Bacterial small subunit ribosomal RNA
Source: RNAcentral
AACGAACGCUGGCGGCAUGCCUAACACAUGCAAGUCGAACGAGACCUUCGGGUCUAGUGGCGCACGGGUGCGUAACGCGUGGGAACCUGCCCUUAGGUUCGGAAUAACUCCCCGAAAGGGGUGCUAAUACCGGAUAAUGUCUUCGGACCAAAGAUUUAUCGCCUUUGGAUGGGCCCGCGUUGGAUUAGCUAGUUGGUAGGGUAAAAGCCUACCAAGGCGACGAUCCAUAGCUGGUCUGAGAGGAUGAUCAGCCACACUGGGACUGAGACACGGCUCAGACGCCUACGUGAGGCAGCAGGGGGGAGUAUUGGACAAUGGGCGAAAGCCUGAUCCAGCAUUGCCGCGGGAGUGAUGAAGGCCGUAGGGUUGUAAAGCGCUUUGACCCGGGACGAGAAUGACAGGACCGGGAGAAUAAGCACGGGCUAACUCCGUG